RNAcentral lists this ribosomal RNA (459 nucleotides) under uncultured bacterium. RNAcentral's name for it is "partial 16S ribosomal RNA". It matches the Rfam family "Bacterial small subunit ribosomal RNA", at positions 338 to 795 of the family's 1533-position model. The record is from RNAcentral.
CCUACGGGUGGCAGCAGUGAGGAAUAUUGGUCAAUGGACGCAAGUCUGAACCAGCCAAGUCGCGUGCAGGAAGACGGCCCUAUGAGUUGUAAACCGCUUUUGUCCGAGGGCAAAUCCCGAUACGUGUACCGGGUUGAAAGUAUCGGACGAAUAAGCAUCGGCUAACUCCGUGCCAGCAGCCGCGGUAAUACGGAGGAUGCGAGCGUUAUCCGGAUUUAUUGGGUUUAAAGGGUGCGCAGGCGGAGGAUCAAGUCAGCGGUAAAAUCGAGAGGCUCAACCUCGUUGCGCCGUUGAAACUGUGUUUCUUGAGUGAGUGAGAGGUAGGCGGAAUGCGUGGUGUAGCGGUGAAAUGCAUAGAUAUCACGCAGAACUCCGAUUGCGAAGGCAGCAUACCGGCGCUCAACUGACGCUGAUGCACGAAAGUGUGGGUAUCGAACAGGAUUAGAUACCCGAGUAGUC